UGAGGAAUAUUGGUCAAUGGGCGCGAGCCUGAACCAGCCAUCCCGCGUGCAGGAAGAAUGCCCUAUGGGUUGUAAACUGCUUUUUCGCAUGAAGAACACUCCUGACGUGUCGGGAGCUGACGGUAGUGCGUGAAUAAGCACCGGCUAACUCCGUGCCAGCAGCCGCGGUAAUACGGAGGGUGCAAGCGUUAUCCGGAUUUAUUGGGUUUAAAGGGUGCGUAGGCGGCAAUAUAAGUCAGUGGUGAAAUCCUGCAGCUCAACUGUAGAACAGCCAUUGAAACUGUAUUACUUGAGUAAUCUUGAGGUAGGCGGAAUGUGUAGUGUAGCGGUGAAAUGCUUAGAUAUUACACAGAACACCGAUUGCGAAGGCAGCUUACUAAGGAUUUACUGACGCUGAUGCACGAAAGCGUGGGGAUCAAACAGG
Molecule: ribosomal RNA, 424 nt
Filed under: uncultured bacterium
Lineage: Bacteria
Description: bacterial SSU rRNA
Rfam family: Bacterial small subunit ribosomal RNA
Source: RNAcentral